UACGUAGGUGGCAAGCGUUGUCCGGAUUUACUGGGUGUAAAGGGGGCGCAGGCGGGAAGCUAAGUUGGAUGUGAAAUACCGGGGCUCAACUCCGGAGCUGCAUCCAAAACUGGUUUUCUUGAGUGGAGUAGAGGCAAGCGGAAUUCCGAGUGUAGCGGUGAAAUGCGUAGAUAUUCGGAGGAACACCAGUGGCGAAGGCGGCUUGCUGGGCUUCAACUGACGCUUAAGCGCGAAAGCUAGGGUAGCGAACGGGAUUAGAUACCCCUGUAGUCCCUGA
This 277-nucleotide ribosomal RNA is filed under the name uncultured prokaryote. Its description in RNAcentral is "partial 16S ribosomal RNA". It matches the Rfam family "Bacterial small subunit ribosomal RNA", at positions 524 to 800 of the family's 1533-position model. The record is from RNAcentral.